This is an RNA transcript of Mustela erminea (ermine), 3412 nucleotides long. It is a transcript of the gene named pyruvate dehydrogenase phosphatase regulatory subunit, mitochondrial-like, with no coding region annotated. The transcript is spliced from 4 exons. NCBI's taxonomy places the organism in Eukaryota, Metazoa, Chordata, Mammalia, Carnivora, Mustelidae. The record is from RefSeq and is a predicted model, not a curated record.
UCGUCAGGGUUGCUCUUCUGAAGACCCGCGUAAUUCAGAUCCCAGAUGGUUCCAGGCCGAUCCUGGCAAGGUUGGUAGUAGCCUGACUUGCUUGCCCGCUGAGGUGGCCCUGCCGGGGGUCGCAGCGUAAGCACCGGGGAUGUCUCCUUUGCUGCCCGUUCAGCGCUUAUGUGACCCGCGACACGGCUGUCGUUGGGAAGGUGAGAGUUGAUGUACUCAAAGGCCGAGGUUUUAUGGCAUUUCCCUUUCACAGGAUUCCUACUCUGGCGAAGCGUCGCCUCGCGUGUAAAUCUUGGAUCAAGACUGAAUGUCUGGGAACUGGGAGCGGGGGGCUGUGUUCGUGCAGAGGGGAGAUGCCAGGAGAGGAGUUGGAGGAGGGGAGGGAAGAGGCCGUGGCCCUCUGCCCAGUGGAUGAGCCUGGUGUCCCCCCCCCCCCCCCAACAGUGUCCUCAGACUUGGCCGGGCUUCCUCUGGAGCGGCGCGGACUCAGUGAAGAUAGUAAAAGGCGUCCCCGCUCCUCACCACCUCUGCUUUUGUCACGGAGGUUGGCUGCUGCGUGCAGGACAGGCGGGAGUGGGUCCCUUUUGGUUGGAUUUAAUUUGGGGGCAACGGGUACUUGAGUCGGGUGGGAGCAGAGUCGGAGUCAGGAGAGGGUCUGCCUCGCGGGCCCCGAGCCGGAACUGCCGACCUGCGGUCCCGGGUUCGGUUCCUCGUGCUUUGCCGAGCCCUGCAUCGCUUACCUGCUUGGAUGCGAGAGGAACCCGGGCCGUAGGCCUCUUGUCUGUAAGGGAAGUUCAUCUCACUGGAGUUCUGGGUCAUUUCCUGGAACCGCAUUUUGAGCCUGGUGUCUCCCUGUUGCUUUGCAGGGCAGCAAGGAAGUCAGGCCGGGGAGGGUCCAGGGGUCACGCUAGUCUGUCACCCCCGUUGCGGUUCAGCCAUGGUGCAGCGGAAAGGGGACGUGGGGUCCCCAACGGAGAAUUCCGUUACCCGGCAGGAUGUGCAGGGGUCAGUUGGGGGACUGGUUUUGAGCCAUUAAAUGAAGACACGUGACCUGUAUACAAGCUGGAUUUCCGGAUAUUACACGCUGAUCAUCAGAGAGAGUGCAUUUACGUGAGGAGCAGGCUUUCUGACUCAAGCCAUUUGGCUCUUCUGAGAAAGCCUCCUUCAGGAGGUUCUCUGUGAUACGAGGGAGUCGGGAAGCAGGAGUUGGAAGGUUUUGAAUCCCCUAAAGCUGAGGACCGUGUUUGGGUUUGUUUUCACGGUUCAGAGCCCCUGCUAAGUUCCCUCCUGCGUCGCAUGCCCGACCUGGAGACCCUGGAGAUCCUGAAGUUGGUGAACUGCCCUGAGACCUUCACCCCGGACAUGAGGUGCAUCAUGGGGGAGUCUCCUUCGGUGAGGGGCUACUUCGUCCUGGCGGGAAUGAACUCUGCCGGCCUUUCGUUCGGUGGAGGGGCUGGGAGGUUCUCAGCGGAGGGUAGAGACUCAGAUGCCAGAAGAUGUGUCCAUCAGGCAGAGGAUGAACAGAGCUAGAAAGCAAGCUUCAAAGAGAAGAGCGCAGAGGCCCUCCCUCAAGAGAGCCCAAGAUCAAGACAGCACAAGAGGUGACAGUGGAUCCUUUCAGAGAAAAGACCGCGUGUCUGAACACAAAGUCCCGCUAACCGUUCACAGCAGUCCGGGGCCCUGGGAUCUCCAGGGAGAGCUUCCUAGACUGGAAGAGGACAGUACGCAGUACACAGAGCACAUGAAGUAUGUGUCCGUCAGCUCCUCGAGUGAUCAGUAACGCUUCCAGUCAACAGCAGGCUCUUAGCAGAUCACGUUUUUGAGGAGUUGAAGUUCUAUGUGAGGCUCUGACUGGGGCAGGAUGGGGGUGCCCUGACCCCCACGUUAUUCAAGGGUCAACUGCAUAACCUUCUUGAGGAUGAAAGCGCUUGAGAAGAACCCAUGCAUGGCACAAAUCACCUCUUGGACUCAUGGAAAAUCAUAAAAACAGGACCAGCCCAGGAUAGUCAGACAUAGAAACCAAGGCCUUAACUAAUGAAGCUACUGGAGCCACAGAGCAUCCCCCUCUUGACCAGGUUUGGCCACUUAAUGACACAGGCACCCAAGCGGCAAAGCUGACUGAUCAUGUGGCACUUCAGAAUCGAUCCCUGCCUGCACAGGCACAAGUCAGCUACCUCUGCAUCAGCUCUUCCCAAAUUGUGACUAAUCCCUUCAUCUUAAAACCAUUAUAUCUGUCUGGACAAGGACAUAAAAUUCCAUGGGCUGGCAGAUGCAUGCUUCCACCAGUAACGGAAAGAAAGCCUAAGGCCGUAUAGGUAAUGCAACUAACAUCAAGAACAAGACAGAGAUGCCUAGGAUCCCUAUGUACAUAAGACUGGACCCUGAAAAUUCCAAGGACUCAACUAAAAAACAACUAUAAGAAAAUUUAGUAAGGAAAUAAAAAAUAUAAAAGAAAAAAAAUGGCUUUCAUUAUCACUUUGGGGCGCCUGGGUGGCUCAGUUAAGGUUAAACAUUUGCCUUCAGCUCAGAUCAUGAUCUCAGGGUCCUGGGACCGAGACCCGAUUCGGGCUCCUGGCUAAGCUGCUCCCUUUCUCUCUGCCCAUCUCCCAACCUGUGCAUGCUCCCGCUCUCAAAUAAUAAAAUCUUUUUAAAAAAUAAUAAUCACUUAGAAGAUAAUGGAACAAAGAUACUCCUCUCAUUCACAAUAGCAACAAAAUAUUUUAACAUCUGUAAGAAGAAAACUUCAAAUACCUCUGAAAGGUCACCAAAAAAACUUAAAUAAAAACUCAAAGGCUUUCUUUUUAAGAUUGAGCACAUCAUGUCAGUUCUUCCUAAUGUAUAAAUGUAAUAUAAUCCAGAAUCCGUCAGUGUUCUUAACUAGAUAAUUACAGUUUCCAAGGGAAAAUAAGAAAACAUGUUUUUUUCCCCAGUUUUCCAAGCUAUGGAGAAGGAUAAGCACGACCAAAUAUUACAAUACAUAAGUGACCCCGAUCAUGGAUAGACUAAGGGAACAGAAGUCCAAAAAUAAAAACAGAAGUCCAGAAAUAAAUCCAAAAACAGAGGAAUUUAGGAUCCGUAAGGACGGAAUGUCAAAUCAACUGGUUAUCCACGUAGAAAAAAAAGUCUAAUCCAUAUCCCAUGAAGUACAGCAAGAGACACUGCGAAAGGAUGGGGCAUCAAAAUACAUGAAAACCCCACAAACCCAUACAACAGAGCAACACAACUAUAAAAGCACUAGAGGAAAACUGAAAAAAAUCUUACAAUCCUGACGCUAUGCAUCACACUCCAGAAGGCACAAAAGAUCAACUCAAUUACAUAAAAAUCAAAUCUCUGCAAUGUAUGAAACAUUUCUCAUAAUUUUUUUUUUAAACCCUGUGUGGCAAAAAAAUGAAAAGACCAGUGACAAACUGGG